Grus americana (Whooping crane) is the source of this 3636-nucleotide long non-coding RNA. RefSeq lists it as uncharacterized. The transcript is spliced from 3 exons. Lineage: Eukaryota; Metazoa; Chordata; Aves; Gruiformes; Gruidae. The record is from RefSeq and is a predicted model, not a curated record.
UGGGUGCUCAGCGAUAAACAAUUCUACAGCUAGAGCCAGCACACAAAGAAGUUUCAAACUGUCACAAGGUAACUUACUGCUCUGGGGUUUUUCAGUAUUAUUUCCUCAGUUCAACUCAAAAAAGAAUGAUGCAUACAGAAAGAAGAGAAAAUGUGGUUUUAAUCCUCCCUACCAUCUGUAAGCUUCUAAGGCUUAUUGGCCAUGAAGACUUUACAAUUAUUAGAUGACCUGACUGAGGAGCAUUCACAGAAGAGAAUGAGAAGAAGGAAUUAACUUUCACAGACAGAGUCUCCACAGUCAGGCCUGACUACAGGGAACAGCCCAUGGAAGAGUAUACAUCUUGUUGUACUGUUUCUGCCAGAACUGCUUUAUUUGGGAAAACAACAGAAAACAGGCUCAACUAAAAUUAAUAGAGAGUCAUAACUUACACUGUCAACUAGAAUACUGGCAACAGAAAAAUAUAUAGUAAAAGAACAAGCUGUUUUGGGUGGGAGAAAAUUCGCUUUCUCUACCUUAGAAAUAAGUCAGGGUAAGACAAUACUAUUUAUUAUCUAUUUUGCACUACCUCCUGUGUAUAAACACUUAAAAAAAAUCAGUCCACAUGCACAAAGAUGCUCUGAGCUGAGAGCAUGCCUUCCCCUUAAAGAGCUCCUUCAGCAAGCUGUGAACAGAACCAAAGUGAAGGAGUCAUAGCUGGUUACUCUUCAGUGCCAUGCCAUAGCUAGCUACUUAUAGUGUUCAGUGAAUGGCAUUGCAUUCCACUGAGCACCUUUUUCAUUAAAGAACUUUAAGAGGACUACUGCAAAAUAGCUAGCAGUCUAAAUUCAUACCAUUAAUGUGCUCUAAUUCCCUUUGUAAACAAACUCAGGUUCAGACUACUACUCAUCUUACUAUUGGCUUAUCAGCUUACAUACUCACUUUAAAGGAUGAUAGUUAUAACCUGCUGUGGAGAACUUUCUGAUGCAUUAUAAAUACCCAAGCUAAGUCUCCGAGUACAUUACAUUUGUGACCCCCAAUGGAAUAAGAAUUUCUUGAGACUGAUCCCCCAACAAUAGGUCAGAACCUUGAGGGUUUUUUUUCCUAUUUCUACUGGCUUACUUGUCUGUUUUUAACUGGAAACACCAUUUACCUAUCUUAAAUGCAUAAAGUUUAUGAUUAUGUUACUUAGUCUGAGUCAGACAAGCAAUAAGAAUACUUGGAACAGCAGAUUACCAGGUAGAAGGAGAUAUUUCUGAAUUCUUUUCAUUUCAACCUGAAAUAAUGCCAAAAAAGUGAAUGCCAUUAUGCAAGCUACAGACAACUCAUAAUUAAUGUCUGUAAUCCCUGUGUAAUUUAGCCUUUAAAGGGGAAGAAUCAAAACAACUAUCAGUUAUAAAGACCAUAGAGCAAUGUUGUUUUACACGUAAGUGUUAUCAGUUUAUUUCCAAGAUUUUUUUAAAAAGUGUCAAAUGUGAGAGUCAUUGUUUGAUUACAUCCCUUGCAAAUUGUCAAGCGCAAUCUUUAGGGAGGCUUUUCUCAUCCCCAGUUUGAUGUGCUAGGUGGAAAUGAGAACUCCACUGACAGCAGGCCAGAUGACUGAUAAAGUACACAUCUAGCAUUGAGUCAAAUGCUCCACAAUCCCAACAUAUACACUUGACAAAGAGACAGACAUUUGUGUAAUUAACAUUUGGCAAGAAAGAGGCUGCAGUCAGUAGGCAGCUUACCAAGACCUGAAUACCUCUAGUCAUCUGUGUAAUAUGUGCACCAGCUGUCAGUCAGAGCUGGGGGGGGGUUUCUCUAGACUGUCAUGUGUGUGCACCUCUUCCUAGCUCACAGCAGAAAAGCCCUCCCUUUCCAGAAGCUGUCAGAGACAGACUUUUCAGCAGACAUGAAUGCAGAGUAGAUUAGCAAAUUUCUAAAUACACAAGAUAAGGGUUGGAACCACAGUAAACUUACCUAGUAGUUUAAAGUAUUUCCAUAGUCAGAACUAUAAAAGUCUAAAGAAUUUGUACCAAAAUAGAUGCACUGAAACACAUUUUUGGUACAAGUUCUCAUUAAGGUUCCUUCCUUGUUUUCCCUUGCUGGAAACAAAGAUAAGCCCUAUCCACUCAUAGCAAAGGAUGCAAACCCAGAAUAUUUUUACCUUUUCUUGAAGACAAGCAUCUCCGAAUACAGUAUCUCUGCUCCUCUUACCUCCAGAUUACAACAGUAGAUUUACUGCCUUUUUUCUGGAAGAGCUGUGACAUUUUUACUGUAAAGCAGACAAUGCUCAGCAUGAUGUUUCAAACAAGCUCUCUUGCCUACAUGCUCCAAGUUGUGAGGCAUCAGCAAAGCAACUUGUUUGUUUCCUAAAGCAAAAAUCUGGAAUGAUGCCUUUGUUCCCAGACAGCAAGACUUAAUCUAUUUGAGACUAACUCUCUGGGAAGCUUGGUUAAUAGUUGCAGCAGGGUACUGAAGCACUACUACUAUUAUAUUCAGAAAGAGAUCAUUUUAAAAUAUCCAUAGAUCCAAAAAACCCAAACAACAUCAGUCUUCAAGACUGAAGGUUGAAAAACAUCUCUUUUUCAAAAACGUGGGAAACUUACUGUGAAGUUAGUUUCAAAAAACAGUCUAUAUUAGCCAUUGAGUCUGUUGAAGUCAUCCUUGCUUUAAGAGGGCUAGGUGCCCUUCUGUAUUAUGGUUUAUAGACUUGAGUAGAAUUUUAGACAUUUAUGGUAGCAGAAAAUUCAGCUCUUCUCUUCAAAAGGCAGAGUCAAUGCAAAUGCUGGUAAGAGGAAAUUCACACUGAAAUGAAAGCAUGCAUUCUGCUCAGAGUCAUUCUAGGUUUUAUACUAUCUCAGUGAUUUUCAGUUACAAUUUUGAAAACAUAUGCAAGAAAAACUGUAUGAAAAUUGUUCAUUGACAAAUGCAUCUUUAUCUGCUGUGGAUAGAACUUUAACUGGUACUUUUCCAUGCAGAGUCUCCCCCACUUCCAGAAUACAAAUACUUAGACACAGCUACAGUAAAGAAAAAUUCCAAGUGACUUGGAUACAUAGCCAUUAGCAAUAGAGAUUUUUGAAGUGUCAAAAAGCAUGUCGUCACUGGUCUUUUCAGAAAGAUGUGCAAGUAAACUCAAAGUAGCAACCACAGGUGAUAUUUCUCAGUUCACCAGUAAAACAGAGGUACUCUUGGAUACCAUACAAAAGCCCUUAUUAGCAAGUAAGUCAAAUGCUUACAUCUGUGUCCUUGGUUGAGACUAUAUCCCUGUUCCCCUGGCAAACUCAAAGUAUAAUUGCCCCGGCAGAGCAAGCAAUACAGUGUAGUUAUUUGACAACUGUAUAUUAAUACAAGUUCAUAUGCAUCUAGUUGUGUUUUUAACUGAAAACAUGCCUUCUGCACUGUAAACAAAUUAUGUUUUAUUUGUCCCAUUUCCCUGUCUUUUUCUGGACAACUGUUGGCUUGAAACUGAGUUUUGAGUUAAAUACAAGAAUAAAACUUAUCAUAGAAUUAAGGUUUAAAAUCCUUUGUACGUUAGGUUAAAGGCGGUAUUAGUACAUCUUAUUACUUUGCCAUUUCCAAUGCCUUGUAAAAGAUAAGAUUAUCUCAUUAAUCCUGUUGUACUCCCUCUAAGGAGGUGAAACACUAGAUAAAAGAACACAGAAAUAAAGCAGUUGAUAA